GGAUGGGCUCGCGGUCUAUCAGCUUGUUGGUGGGGUGAUGGCUUACCAAGGCUUUGACGGGUAGCCGGCCUGAGAGGGUGGUCGGUCACAUUGGGACUGAGAUACGGCCCAGACUCCUGCGGGAGGCAGCAGUGGGGGAUAUUGCACAAUGGGCGCAAGCCUGAUGCAGCGACGCCGCGUGGGGGAUGAAGGCCUUCGGGUUGUAAACUUCUUUUGCUCUGAACAAGGCGCACUAUUGGGUGUGUUGAGUGUAGGGGUUGAUUAGCGCCGGCUAACUACGUGCCAGCAGCCGCGGUAAUACGUAGGGCGCGAGCGUUAUCCGGAAUUAUUGGGCGUAAAGGGCUUGUAGGUGGCUGGUUGCGUCUGUCGUGAAAGCUCAUGGCUUAACUGUGGGUUUGCGGUGGGUACGGGCUGGCUUGAGUGCAGUAGGGGAGACUGGAAUUCCUGGUGUAGCGGUGGAAUGCGCAGAUAUCAGGAGGAAUACCGGUGGCGAAGGCGGGUCUCUGGGCUGUUACUGACGCUGAGGAGCGAAAGCGUGGGGAGCGAACAGGAUUAGAUACCCUGGUAGUCCAUGCUGUAAACGUUGGGAACUGGGUGUGGGGGGCUUUUUUGUCUUCUGCGUCGUAGCUAACGCGUUAAGUUCCCCGCCUGGGGAGUACGGUCGCAAGGCUAAAACUCAAAGGAAUUGACGGGGGCCCGCACAAGCGGCGGAGCAUGCGGAUUAAUUCGAUGCAACGCGAAGAACCUUACCAAGGCUUGACAUGCACUGGACCGAUCUAGAGAUGGGUUUUCCUUUUUGGCUGGUGUGCAGGUGGUGCAUGGUUGUCGUCAGCUCGUGUCGUGAGAUGUUGGGUUAAGUCCCGCAACGAGCGCAACCCUUGUCCUAUGUUGCCAGCAAGUUGUGUUGGGGACUCGUGGGAGACUGCCGGGGUUAACUCGGAGGAAGGUGGGGAUGACGUCAAAUCAUCAUGCCCCUUAUGUCUUGGGCUUCACGCAUGCUACAUUGGCGUCUACAAAGGGUUGCGAUACCGUAAGGUGGGGCGAAUCUCUUAAAGGGCGUCUUGGUUCGGAUCGGGGUCUGCAACUCGGCCCCGUGAAGGUGGAGUCGCUAGUAAUCGCAGAUCAGCAACGCUGCGGUGAAUACGUUCUCGGGCCUUGCACUAACCGCCCGUCA
This 1174-nucleotide ribosomal RNA is filed under the name uncultured bacterium. RNAcentral's name for it is "bacterial SSU rRNA". It matches the Rfam family "Bacterial small subunit ribosomal RNA", at positions 223 to 1399 of the family's 1533-position model. The record is from RNAcentral.